This 237-nucleotide ribosomal RNA is filed under the name Salmonella enterica subsp. enterica serovar Kentucky. Its description in RNAcentral is "partial 23S ribosomal RNA". It matches the Rfam family "Bacterial large subunit ribosomal RNA", at positions 2648 to 2925 of the family's 2925-position model. The record is from RNAcentral. Lineage: Bacteria; Pseudomonadati; Pseudomonadota; Gammaproteobacteria; Enterobacterales; Enterobacteriaceae.
UGGGCGCUGGAGAACUGAGGGGGGCUGCUCCUAGUACGAGAGGACCGGAGUGGACGCAUCACUGGUGUUCGGGUUGUCAUGCCAAUGGCACUGCCCGGUAGCUAAAUGCGGAAGAGAUAAGUGCUGAGGAUGCUUUAGAUUAUGUCGCCGGAUACAGCUGCUAUAUGGAUGGUUCAGUGAGGGACUGGCAGCAUAGCUGGUUUACGGCUGGAAAAAACUGGCCUUCGACAGGAUCAU